CUUCCCGGUCGAGCGCUUUCCAGCUGGGUUCUUCUAGGUCUCUCCGAAAGUGUCAUCUUCUCUGGGCCCAGGAUGCCCAUGGGAACCACCAGAGCACCUGCGGGACAUCUGAUGCGGAGUGAAAGGCCAGACAUCUGCUCAGCUCUGGGGAUGGCAAACAUCACAGAUCUGGAGAGGCCAGCCACCUUAUUAACCAGUGCCUGGAGGUCAGAAACGCAGAGGUUUUCCCACUGAUGUGCUUUACCUGUUGUAUCCCAUGCCUGUCCAUCUGCCCAUCUUUCUUGGGAGCCAUCAAACCAUCUUUUAAAUGCAUUUCACGGUGAGUUCUUGUCAUCAGCGCCCUUCACCCAGAAAUGCUUACUCA
Molecule: long non-coding RNA, 364 nt
Organism: Phacochoerus africanus (Common warthog)
Lineage: Eukaryota; Metazoa; Chordata; Mammalia; Artiodactyla; Suidae
Exons: 3
Source: RefSeq, a predicted model, not a curated record